Molecule: long non-coding RNA, 738 nt
Filed under: Phasianus colchicus (ring-necked pheasant)
Lineage: Eukaryota; Metazoa; Chordata; Aves; Galliformes; Phasianidae
Description: lncRNA (ENSPCLG00000013617.1)
Source: RNAcentral
UCGCUUUGGGGCAAAAAACCCCAUUUUGGGGUCCAGAAAAAAUCUAUUCUCAUCCCCAUCCUUUUUGGGGCAAAAAUCCCCAUUUUUGGGUCCAGAAAAACCCCAUUCCCAUUCCUGUCCUUUUUGGGGCCAAAAAACCCCAUUUUUAGGGCCAAAAAAACCCCAUUCUCCCCCCCGUCCUUUUUGGGCCCCAAAACCCCAUUUUUAGGGCAAAAAACCCCAUUUUUGGGUCCAGAAAAAAACCCCAUUUUUAGGGCAAAAAACCCCAUUUUUGGGUCCAGAAAAACCCCAUUCUCACCCCUCUCCCUUUUGGGGCAGAAAACCCCAUUUUCAAUCCCCCAAACCCCCAUUUUUCCCCACAAAACCCCCAGUUUUGGGGCCAAAAAAACCCCACUUUUGGGUCCAGAAAAACCCCAUUCUCCCCCGUGUUCCUUUUUGGGGCAGAAAACCCCAUUUUUAGGGCAAAAAACCCCAUUUUUAGGGUCAAAAACCCCCAUUCUCACUCCUGUCCAUUUUGGGGCAGAAAACCCCAUUUUUAGGUCCCUUAAAACCCCAUUUUUGGGUCCAGAAAAACCCCAUUCUCCCCCCGCGUCCAUUUUGGGGCAGAAAACCCCAUUUUCAAGCCCCCAAACCCCCAUUUUCCCCACAAAACCCCCAUUUUUGGUGCCCCUCCCCCUUCCUUCCCCCCCCCACCCCCAAAUUUCCCCAAAUCCCCCCUUUUUCACCCCAAAAACCACA